Long non-coding RNA from Passer montanus (Eurasian tree sparrow), 8716 nucleotides. RefSeq lists it as uncharacterized. The record is from RefSeq and is a predicted model, not a curated record. NCBI's taxonomy places the organism in Eukaryota, Metazoa, Chordata, Aves, Passeriformes, Passeridae. The transcript has 3 exons.
GCCUCCAGUCCUCUUGGGCACAUGGAGAGCUGUGUGCCAUUCCUUUCACAGACUCUCAGCACUAAUUUCUGGCAUACAAGUUCAGGGAAGGUGGACCUGUGGCACUAACUCCAUCUCAAUGAGCAAAGCACAGUUCCUUUUCCCACUGGCUCUUCUCAGCUGGGCAAGAAUGAAGUCAUACCAUAAAAUGAUGAAUGAAUUCCAGCUCAAGACAUUGCUUACCACCCCUGGAGGAGGAGAAGAUGCCUCUCACAAGUAUCUACCUGCAGCAUGAAGCACAAAAGACCUGGAUGCUGCACUCCUUUGGGCGCUGUUUCAGUCUUAACUGAAAAUCACAGCUUACCAGUUCCUAGACCAUCCCAAUUGCUCAGCAUCUACAAAUCUGCAGAGACAUCCCUGGAAGUGUGAUGUUAUUGCUGAACUGCAGUGGUGAAUACAGCCAGCUACAAAGCUGUGUGAAUGAAGAAAUGAGUGGGAAUAAUUGCUUUGGUAUUACUUGAGGCUACCUUUUCCAGCCCUUUGCUCCACAUUACCUAACAGCCAGAGCUGACUCAUUGCCAUCUGAACCAUCACAGUGCUGGAGCUCAAAUAAAAUAAAAAGGGAGAUAAUGUUUAAUAAUAUGACAAUGCUUUUCUAGUCCCCCUUGCUGGCUCAUGAAAACUUGGAAUGAAGCACAGUUUUAACAGUGGAAUGCUGAAAAGUUUGCCUUGACUUUGUGCUGCAUGUUUGUGGUAGGAGUCAGCUGAUGAGUUCCUGACUGCGUGGGUCUCAGAGGGGUGAAAUUCUUGACCCUGGACUUCCCAAGAGCUUCAGAGUCAGGAUAACACAGACAUAUUGGCUGAUUUGGUUUAGUGGCACAAAAAGCAGUCAGUAGAGUAUCUGUAGAAUGGGAUGGGUUUUAAAAGGGUUAUAAAUCUUUCUUUCUAAGAGAACUAAAACUGUGCUAGGGUCCGUGUUUUGAUGGCUGACCUCAAGCUGAUCAUAGCAGGGAGAUGGCACAGGAUUUCCUUUCUAAGGGUAAAUACCAAAGAGGAGAACCUCAAAGCACUAGCAGUGUGGUAACCCCCUACCUCCUAUUAAAUUACAUUGCAGUUGGUUCAUUAUCCUUUCUGCAGUGAGCUGAAGAAAGCCAAGUACAGCCUGAUGGGCUCCUGGCUGUGAUCCCAGGGCUAGCUGGUCAUGAGAAGCUAGUACAAUUCUUGGUUUCAGUGAAUCCCAGGGCUAUGAUGAACCUCCCACACACAGGUCUCCUUGACUGUGAAAACCAUCUCUAUGCCUGGUAUAAUGGUAUUGAGGGAUGGGCUAGCAAGGGUCCAUGUCACAUCUCUGGAAAUUUCUGCUAUGUAACUUGAGAAAAGAGGCUAAAAUUUGUCAGGGAUUUCCUAAAGUCUAAGUAAUCUAAUUUUGUCUGGUUUUGAGUCUUGCAGUCUUCCUAAUGCUCAGGGAUCCUGAACAGGAGAAAACCUUUACUGAGUUUUGUCAAAACCAUGAACAUUCUUGGUCUUACGAGUACAAUUGACCCCCUUGUCUCUUUGCUGUGCCUACUAUGCUUUUUAUGUUGGUAUUUGAGCAAGGCACUCAAAUAAAGGAAGUUCUUGUAAGAAUGGGUAAUAAUAAAUAUGAGACCAUUGUAAAAAUCUGCUUUACAGCACUGACAGAUCAUUUUAAUUUGCUUUGUCUAAAACAUGAGAUGAAGGGCAAAGACUUCACAGAUGUCCAUAGUAUUGGGAAGGCUGGGGCCCAUUUCCCAGAUUAUUUCAUAUAGGCAAGUGUGCACACAUUCAGGACAUGGGAAGUUAAGAAAUUACUGGCCAGUUGCAGGUUGUAGAAGAUAUCUGUAGGUGCCAUCUGAGAUGUACAAAAACAGCUUAAAAGUGGUAAAGGUGCUCUUGAAAAUGGAAUGCAGGUACUUUUGAAAGCUUGUCUCCUGUGAUAUCCAUGCCAAUUAGUUAUGAACACUUUUCCAGCUUUAUUGUUUGAAGGUUCUUCAUCUGUGAACAUUUAUAGUUGAAGCAAUCAGGCAGCAGAUGAAAGGGCAGUACUCAAAGCUUUGAAUUUAAACAAGAGAGAUAAACAGGUAUCAAACUGUAGGUAGGUAUGUAGUUCCAGUGCUUUGAGCAGAUGAACACCUGGAUGUAAGCCAGUGUUGAAGUGUAUCUCUAACUCAAAACUCAAAGAGUAAUCACAUUAAUGUGACAGCUCAAAAUUAAGAAAAUUGCCCCAGUGCUUUGGAAUGGACAGACUGAAAAUAAAAUCAAAUUAAAGAGGCCUUAUUUGAACUAUGGCAUAAAAACUGAGAAAAACAACAAUAUUCUGGGUGCUGGAAUGCCAUCGACUGUGUUAUGUCUACCACCAGACAAGGGCAGUCGGAAGUGCAGGCUGUCAAGAUGACUGGACAAAGGGCUGGCUGGUUAGUCACUAGGUGCCAGAUGGACACCACCAACUGUCUAAAUGAUUUCUCCCUCAUUUGUAAUUGGCCUCAGUUGUGGCUGAGCUCUCUGGCUGUGCCUGCAGUUCUCAGGUCUUCCGUUGGCAGCCGCCUUGGCAUACACCCUGCAGGCAGUGUGCAAGUUCCUGUCAGUAUGACAGUCCCUGAAGGAACUGUGGGUUUUCGGUCAUGCCCUCCUCUAACAAAUUUUGCCUCAUUUGUGGUGUGGAACAUCCAUGUCACCAUUUCAUUCCACCCUCCUUUACUAUUUUUUUUUCCUGCCUGCUUCUCAUUUUCAUGUCAGCUAUUGCAAUCAGUUACAAAGAGACGUUUUCUGAUAUUGGUACAGGACUGCUGACAUUUUCCACCUCAUGCUAUUUUAAGACUGGCAAUUAGGACUAUGUAAAGAUGUCACUUUGUGCCCAAAGCAGCUGUGCCUUUAAGCAUCUCUGGCUUCUCCCUUGUGAUCCAAAUCCACACUGAGUGGUCUUGUGGCCUUCUGGCUACAGAGCUGUUCUGGUCUCUGCUCAUCACCCCACUGUCUGCCUCCUGCUAUGUGUCUGGGACUUAUAGCAUCAUGAUAAAGAAAUCUGUUUAAUAGAAAGUCCUCCUGCAUUUAUGUGCUUCUGUCUUCUUCACUGACAUGUCUUCGGGAAGUACCAAAGUCUUGAGGCCAAGAAGUCCUUCAAGACAAUUGCUGGGAAACAAGCAAGUGACUUUUCAUGCUGAGUUCAAAAAGUUCUGCAUGUAUUGUUUUGUAAAAGACUCAAAUCCUAGUCUACAAGGUGAAACUGGAGCUGCCGGAUUCAGGCUACUUUUGGAUGGCUUGACAUUUGAACUUAAAAGUGACAGGAGAAUGUACUUGCCCUCAUGUAGGUGGUUGCUCCAAAGAGCUCAGAGGUGUUGCAGAGCAUGGCUACUGCCCAGCCAUGAAGCACAAGCACAGCUCUCACUAUCAUUCUGUCUAUGACUGUCUCAGGUGGGUGUCAUUGAGACAGAAAGUAGAAACUGUUUUCACAGGUACCAGACUGACUGCCUUGCCACUCUUUUCUUGGUACUACAGUCUGCUGGGAAAGAAAGCAGAGGGGUCCUACUGUUUUUGGACAGGUCAAUACAAUUGCAAACAUCAAAAUGUCUGACAUUAAGUAGAAAAAAGAUGCAGGACAAAGGAUGAUUAUGGUUUUUGCUAACAGCACACCAGCAAAAGGUGGGAAGAGGUAUGUUCAGUUUAUCAUGUCUGUGCACAUGAUGUAGGUAGUCAUGGAUAGCUAAUUUUCACCCAAAAAUAAGUCUAGCAGUUGGAUCUUGUUCAGCCAACCUCUCAGCCAAGAACCAGCAAAUGAAUAUGGUCACUAAAUUUCCCAGUGAAAGUGGCUGAAGCUGUGCUUUACCCCACAUUUGCAGAGGGCUGCUGGUGGGCCAUAGUCCAUUGUCAUGGCUCAUCUAGGUGAUGCAAUCUUCUGAUCUGACUGUGGGUUUGAGCCCUUCUUUUUUUUCUGUUUCCAACUCCCACCUUUGAAAUCAGUACUGUAGUAAAUAUCUGCUUGAUAGUAGAGCUCUCAAAAACCGUGGUCAGGGAGACCAAGAGAAUACUGCAGAAAAAUGCAACUUUUUCUUACAGGUUGCUAAAUAUCCAGUGCCUUUUGCACACCUAUUUAUCUUUUCUUAUUUCCCCUUACCCCUUCCUCAUGCUCUUCCCACAACAAGAUUCUGUGGAAUCACACAUCACCAUGUAGGAAAUGCUUGUUUAGCAGAGUUUUUUUCCCUAAUAUGUAUAAUACAACAAACUGUCAGACAGACAUGCUAAAUAUACAUCCAUGGACUCAGGGAACACUGCAGAAAGGCAGCAAAUGCUGAAGUUAAUGCUUGUGUUCCUGCACCACCUUGUACUAUUGUGGUAUAUUCUUAUUAUGAAGGUCACAUACUAGCUUUCUUUUCUGCUUCCCAUUCCUGCUGCAUGCUGUGUGGCUUGCUUUGAUAAUUGGAAAUUGCUGCACAAACUGACUGCCACGUCCCAGGAGACAGAAGAAGGUCUAUCACAGCAGCAAAGGAUGAAAAAGAGGAAUCCAGGUCCAGAUAGUAAAGAAAAAGAAGGGAAAAUAAUAAUUAAAAUGUCUCUAUUGCUGCAUGCAUAAACAGAAUUUACAAAAGGGGACUGCUGGAGGAAGAGCUUCUCUGCAGAGUAUGAGGCCAUCUAGUGAGCUGAGGCAUUGUAACAGCUCAGCUUUUUCCAUGGCAUUUUGUCCUGCUUGUCCCCAACAGAACACUUCACAUGCCAGCUGUGAGCCAGGUAUGCACACGGAUACUUCAACAACAUUCCUCACUGCAAGGUGAAAGGAGAAAAACCCCUGCAGAAGAGGAGAAAGUGACAACAGAAAGGAUGUGGCAGAUGUCAGGGAGCUUGGCAUGUGGGUUUUUAUAGGAAGCUGGAAAUCCAGUUACACUGGCAGUGGAAGGACUAUGUGGUGUGCAACUUUUCACUGAAUACUGUCCUCAGCUGCAUAGUUGGGGAUGACAAGGGGAACUACUCAGCUGGAGGGCACUGCAGCAACUGGGGUACUGAGAAAACCUUGCCAGGAGCCCUGAGAUAUAGGGUGCUCACUAUUAUGGGAUGUCUUCCCUGACAAAAAACUACUGAGAAUCAAGGAAAUGGGACAGUGAUGUCCUAAAAUAAUUUCAAGUUCUCAGAGAACUGAUGCUUGUAUUUUAUAGGAUAUUGGACUGGUAGUCCUGGAAGGAAAAUUGCUGCAAUGCAAAGCGUCAUACCUACCAAGUCCUGUCCUGGUGCUUUGCCUCCAAGCAGACCAGACUGGUUGCCUGGGGAUGAACACAUGAACAGCUGCACUGCCCACGCACUCCUCUGCAUCCCACAUGAGGCUGCCAGGUUCUGAGAACAACAAUAAAUAUCUGGGAUUCUUGAUAGCUUUUUGUGGCUGCUCAGAGAGCCCUUGAACAUACCUGAACCCACGUCUGACUCCAAAACCCACAACCAUUGCCACACUGUCCUGGUACAAAUGUUGAUUGCUCAACCCAGGGUGCAGUGCUGGAGAAUGUGAGCACAAGACAGUAUUUCAACAUUUCUAGGUGCUAGCAUGUGAUUCCUGCCUCUUCAGCGGCGUUUUCCAACUUUCAGCAUAGGCACAAGUGGUUAUAGCAAGUUUGUCCUGUUGCAUUAGAAGUACCUCAGAAAAUUGGAAGGAAAAGACUGCAAGAUCCUCACCUAGUAAACAUCAGUUUAAUCUCGUGAAAUGUUCGGAGCCAGGUAAGCACAUGGUCCACCAGUUCUGUCUUCAGCUGACUGAAUAUAUUCACUUUCUCAUGUCUUGAAAAAUUGUUUAAAUUGUUUGACCUGCUCUCCUUCCUCAGUGGAGAACUACACAUGUUCACCAGUCUAUCUCUGGAAGAGCUAUACAUCUGGAGCUUGGUAAUUGUAAUAAUGACAAAUUGUUCCACAUUCUCUUGAAUUGUCACUGAAGCCUUGAUCUGCAAAUUUUAGGACACCAAAUUAGUUUUAACUAUGAAAUUAUUAGUCCCAGCAAAUAAGCAUGCACAGCUGGAAGCCUUUGCUACUUCAAUAAGUUUGUAUGUAUCUACAUAGGCUAUAGAGAGGAGAAAUAAAAUAUAAUUAGCUUUAUAGCAGUGUCAGUAAAUACAGUAGCACCACUGAUAGUAACAGACCCCAAGCUUUGUAAGGACUUUAUGCCUUGUCACGGUCCCUCUGUACAUGCCCCCUUUGCCUUCUGCACACGUCUGUAUGGUGUAGCUGUGAUCUACAAACAGCAGUGCCAAGCAUUUUGUUCUGCGGAGGAAAUACGUGUGAAGCCACUGUAGUCAUUCCAUGCAGAGGAACAGGGGCUUGAUGCCAAAGCUGAAGCCUGGAAAGAAAGAUGCUGUGUACUGUGAGUGGGAGGAUGUGGUGGGAUGAUGACACAGGAAAUGAGCAGGUUCACAAUGGUCAGAUAAAGACCUAGAGCUGGAUAAAACAGCUCUAGGAGCAGCAAGGACAACAAAGAAUGAGACUCAAAAGAAGCAUGGCCAGCAGGUCAAGGCAGGUGGUUGCUCCUCUGCACCUGAGUGCCACAUCCAGCUCUGUGGGCUUCAACUUCAGAAGGAUGUGUACCUGCUGGAGCAAUCCCAGUGGAGUGCCAUGGAAAUCAUCAGUGGGGUGGACCAUCAGUCCUAUGAGGAAGAGCUAAGACAGCUAUGGCUGUUCAGCCUGGAAAAGAAAAGGCUGCUGGUAGACCUUGCCUUCUAGCUCCUAAGGGAUGUUUGUCAGAAAGAUGGGGACAGACUUUUUUCAAAGUUGGGCUCAUAUCCAUAGGACAGGGGCCAAACUAGAAGAGGGUAGAUUUAAUAUAGAUACAAGGAAGAAUUUUUUGUUAUGGUGUGGAUAGAGAGAAACUGGAAUAGAUUUCCAAGAGAAUCUGUGGAUGCCUCGUCAUUCUAAGUGUUCAAAGUCAGGCUGGAUGGAGCUCUGAGCAAUCUGACCUAAGGUGAAGAUGUCAUUGCUUAUUGCAGGGGAGUUUGGACUGGAUGAUUUCAAAGGUUCCUUUCAACCCAAACUAUUCUGUGCUUCCAUGAUUCUAUGUAACAUAUUCAAUACAUAUAUGGCAGAACUGACAUGGGUUUACAGAUCCACGAAGAAAGACCAAGGCAUACAGGCUGUUAGAAAAAAAAAUAACAUCUGUUCCAAGUGGACCCCAAAUUGAGGAGAAGUAAACCCGCAAUGUCUAUAUCACAUUCCCCCUGGAAAAGAGAAGAAACCCUCACAAUCAGCAUAAUAUUUACCUUGAUGAAGAGUUUUAGAUGCUUGACAUGUAUUUUAACUAUGGCUGUGAUGGAUCCAGAGAGGUGGAAGAGUAACUCUAAGAACAGAGAAAAGGGCAAGUGCUAGGAGACAUAACAGUUGUAGCUAUUACUCUGCAGACUUUUUAUGUAAUACUGUUCCUUUUUCUCCUCCUAUAAUAUUUUGACUGAUAUUAAAAACAAGUCAGUAAUUAGACUGGUAAGAUUUGGUUACCUUAACAACAAAGUAUUGGCUUUGCACAAAAAGUCUGCUUAUUUUUCAUCCUGACAAUUAAUUGAGCACAACUUCAUCACAUUGUAGAUGAAAGAUGGAUGCCUAGCUAUUUCCCUAGCUAUUUCCCAGCUCAGUGCUUUGUGCACUACACCGUCUGUCCUGUGGUCUUUUUGUUUGAUUUGUUUUGCUUUUUGGGUUUUUGUUUUCAUUUUCAUUUUUUUUUAUUUUCUUUGAUCAGAUGGACUUUGGGUAGUACAUUUGGAAGAAUAUUUUCAAGGACUAAUUUCUCCACAGCUAAUUUAAGGAGAGAAAUAAUUUUCUAGGCCCCAGAUUUUUUAAAAAUUCCCAAAUGCUGUAACAAUACAACAGCAUGUGUGAGUUUAAUGUCACUGAAUGUGGCAGCACCCAUUAUUUCAGCCUAGAGGAGAAAGACCAAACCAACCUGCACACUGGGUUGCUGUGUCUAGGUGUAAACCAGAUGCAGGCAAGUGCCAGUGGGUAAGGGAGGAGGAAACUAGUGGGCAUUGCAUAAAAAAAAUUGAAAGCUUUUCAGGAGAGAGUCAAAAUACAGCUUUUUAGCUAUAGUUCAUUUUAAAAACACUUGUUUUAUUUAAUAGAUUCUAUUCUUUUAAAAUAAUGGUUUCCUGCACUUUCACUUCCAAAAUUCCAAAUUCACUUCCACACUUCCACAAUGUUCUAGAAAAACAAGGUAUUUUGAAACUGCAAAGUUAAGUGUUAAAAUAUAACAUCUCAGAGCCUGAAAAAUCCUUAUUUUUCUAUCCAUUGAAUUCAGCACAUGAUUUUGCUGUACCAUUUUUCAUAUUAUGGAAAACAAUAGCUUGGCUUGAAUUAAAGUUCUCAUUUCCUGCUCCUUUCAGUGUCCUCAGUCUAGGGAGCAUAUUAUACAAAUGUGAAACUUUCAGGUGUGUCAACUCAUAUAAAAAGUCUAUGUCACUCGUUAAAGUCACAUCUUACUGAUAUUUCAAAAACAUAAGGCAACAUGUGGAAGCACCAAAAAUUUCUUAUGGAGGUUUUCCUCACGUAGAAAUUCACUGUUAUAUCCUUGUUAUUAUGGUAGCAUUGUUACAUGAAAGCAACUUUCUAGUACUCCAUGCUAUAUUAAAACAUGUCUAGUAUAUAAAAGAAUGUAUCUUUUGUAACAUUGCCACUCUUUGGGUUAUUUCAGCGAAGGAUGGAUAUAUUUUGUUUCAAGAUUAAAGACUGGAAACUAUGAUAUAACAGUAGUAAUAUUUGCAUGUAAAUAAAA